CACACACACACACCCCGGCAACAAACACAUCGGGAGACGGAGAAAAUGCGCCGAGACGGGGAGGCACAAGGCCAGAAACUUACCUGCUCCACGACCGGCUGCCAAAGCUGGCGACUUUGCUGCUGAGCUGAAACUGCUAAUUUCUGUGACCAGCUUUUUUCUUAGCUGUGAUCUGGAUGAAUGAGUAGCUGUCUCACAGAGAUGACAAAAAUAAACUCUAAUCCCCCCAAA
Lagopus muta (rock ptarmigan) is the source of this 231-nucleotide long non-coding RNA. RefSeq lists it as uncharacterized. The record is from RefSeq and is a predicted model, not a curated record. NCBI's taxonomy places the organism in Eukaryota, Metazoa, Chordata, Aves, Galliformes, Phasianidae. The transcript is spliced from 2 exons.